GAUGAACGCUGGCGGCGUGCCUAACACAUGCAAGUCGAACGUGAGAGGGUAGCAAUAUCCUUGAAAGUGGCGCACGGGUGAGUAAUACGUAGGUAACCUGCCCUGGAGUGGGGGAUAACAGCUAGAAAUGGCUGCUAAUACCGCAUGAGGCCGAGACACUGGGAAGUGACUUGGCGAAAACUCUGGUGCUUCAGGAGGGGCCUGCGGCCGAUUAGCUAGUUGGCGGGGUAAGAGCCCACCAAGGCAUUGAUCGGUAGCUGGUCUGAGAGGACGAUCAGCCACACGGGAACUGAGACACGGUCCCGACUCCUACGGGGGGCAGCAGUGAGGAAUAUUGGGCAAUGGGCGGAAGCCUGACCCAGCAACGCCGCGUGGAGGAAGACGGCCUUCGGGUUGUAAACUCCUUUUACGGGGGAAGAGGAAGGACGGUACCCCGAGAAUAAGUCACGGCUAACUACGUGCCAGCAGCCGCCGUAAAAC
This 480-nucleotide ribosomal RNA is filed under the name uncultured bacterium. RNAcentral describes it as "bacterial SSU rRNA". It matches the Rfam family "Bacterial small subunit ribosomal RNA", at positions 28 to 526 of the family's 1533-position model. The record is from RNAcentral.